AGUCGAACGCAACCUUCGGGUUGAGUGGCGGACGGGUGAGUAACGCGUGAGAAUCUGCCUUGGGGUCGGGGACAACCACUGGAAACGGUGGCUAAUACCGGAUAAGCCUUUGGGUAAAAGAUUUAUUGCCCCAAGAGGAGCUCGCGUCUGAUUAGCUAGUUGGUGAGGUAAGAGCUCACCAAGGCAGCGAUCAGUAGCUGGUCUGAGAGGACGAUCAGCCACACUGGGACUGAGACACGGCCCAGACUCCUACGGGAGGCAGCAGUGGGGAAUUUUCCGCAAUGGGCGAAAGCCUGACGGAGCAAGACCGCGUGAGGGAGGAAGGCUCUUGGGUUGUAAACCUCUUUUCUCAGGGAAGAAGCUCUGACGGUACCUGAGGAAUCAGCCUCGGCUAACUCCGUGCCAGCAGCCGCGGUAAUACGGAGGAGGCAAGCGUUAUCCGGAAUUAUUGGGCGUAAAGCGUCCGCAGGUGGCGAUUCAAGUCUGCUGUCAAAGCACGGGGCUUAACUCCGUUAAGGCAGUGGAAACUGAAUAGCUAGAGUGCCGUAGGGGUAGAGGGAAUUCCCGGUGUAGCGGUGAAAUGCGUAAGAGAUCGGGAAGAACAUCGGUGGCGAAAGCGCUCUACUGGACGGCAACUGACACUCAGGGACGAAAGCUAGGGGAGCGAAUGGGAUUAGAUACCCCAGUAGUCCUAGCUGUAAACGAUGGAUACUAGGUGUAGCUUGUAUCGGACCCGAGCUGUUGCCGAAGCUAACGCGUUAAAGUAUCCCGCUUGGGGAGUACGCACGCCAAGUGUGAAACUCAAAGGAGUUGACGGGGGCCCCGGCACAAGCGGUGGAGUAUGUGGUUUAAUUCGAUGCAACGCGAAGAACCUUACCAGGGCUUGACAUGUCCGGAAUCCCGGUGAAAGCUGCGAAUGCCUUCGGGAGCCCGGAACACAGGUGGUGCAUGCCUGUCGUCAGCUCGUGUCGUGAGAUGUUGGGUUAAGUCCCGCAACGAGCGCAAACCCUUCGUUCUUUAGUUGCCAGCAUUAAGUUGGGCACUCUAGAGAGACUGCCGGUGACAAACCGGAGGAAGGUGGGGAUGACGUCAAGUCAGCAUGCCCCUUACGCUCUGGGCGACACACGUACUACAAUGGUCGGGACAGAGGGCA
This 1153-nucleotide ribosomal RNA is filed under the name uncultured organism. Its description in RNAcentral is "bacterial SSU rRNA". It matches the Rfam family "Bacterial small subunit ribosomal RNA", at positions 60 to 1248 of the family's 1533-position model. The record is from RNAcentral.